This 253-nucleotide ribosomal RNA is filed under the name uncultured bacterium. RNAcentral describes it as "partial 16S ribosomal RNA". It matches the Rfam family "Bacterial small subunit ribosomal RNA", at positions 524 to 776 of the family's 1533-position model. The record is from RNAcentral.
UACGUAGGGCGCAAGCGUUGUCCGGAAUUAUUGGGCGUAAAGAGCUCGUAGGCGGUCUGUCGCGUCCGUUGUGAAAACUCAGGGCUUAACCCUGAGCCUGCAGUGGGUACGGGCAGACUAGAGUGUGGUAGGGGAGAUCGGAAUUCCUGGUGUAGCGGUGGAAUGCGCAGAUAUCAGGAGGAACACCGGUGGCGAAGGCGGAUCUCUGGGCCAUAACUGACGCUGAGGAGCGAAAGCAUGGGGAGCGAACAGG